GUUUCGAUUUAACAAGACCAUGUCAAUGUUUCGAUUUAGCGAGACCAAGUCAGUGUUUCGAUUUAUCGAAACCAUCUUAGUGGCAUCUAACAUAACCUAAAUCAACACAGUUUAGUAAAAAAUAAUAUUCUAUUCAACUUAGCAUUAUACACAUAAAUAGAAAAUAUAUAAAGCACAAUGUAUUUAGCUGAAAACUAUUAUGCUCAAUAUCAAAAUGAUACAUAUCUAAAUAAAUUCACAAACAAACUAUUAAAUAAGACUCACCCCUUAAUGAAAUAUAAGCUUAUAUGCUAUUAGAUAGAGUAAUAUAAUGAAAGGGCAGUAGGUUAGUAGGGCACAUUUAAGUUUUGUACUGCAUUGCUCCUCAAAAUGUAAGACUGUAAAGCUGGAUGAAUGUAAAAUAUCACAUUUAUUACCAUUUAAACUGCAAAUGGUGAUGUAGAUUAGUUGUGCCGAGCUCUGCACUUAUUACAUUACUCUGUCCAGUACAAGGUGACUUUACAGUGUUCUUUUUCUAUAUAAACAUAACUAAUAUGUUCUUCAACAAUGAUUUCAUCGUCUAGCAUGUAGUUUCAGCAUAUAUUUUCUUUUCCUUAUGCAAGUCAAAGGCUACAAGAAAUAUACAACCUGGCAAACAUCUACCCAAGGUCCAUUUUUAUCAGCCAAUGAAAAGACCAUUUCUUGCCGAUGAUUCCUUUACGAUAAUGAAUCUUGAAUGAAGAUCAUCUAGCGUUACCAAUGACUGAUUUGUUAUAUAUAGCCCUCUAAAUUUGAAAAAGCAAAAGAUUGCUCAUCAACAUAUUACAACAUACUUAUUAAUGAAUGAUGAUUAUGGGUCAAAUUAGACACAUUUAUAACAGUGUCUUGUAUAUCCUGGCCUACACAGGGGCGGAUCCAGACCGAUGCCAGCGAUGCGAAUGCAUCGGUCAAAAUUGAGAAAUCAUGAUUCAUGUGCUUGAAAUAUAUAGCUAUAUAAUUCGCCAAUAGUCAAAGCACACAGUAAUAAAAUAUUUCCUGUCAACCCGCAAAUCUUUGCUUAAAAUUGACUCCAUGUCAGGAAUACACUAUUUAGGAUGAAAUCCAAUUUAAAUAGUCUCAAUAACAGUCGAAAUUGUCAAA
Molecule: non-coding RNA, 1119 nt
Organism: Paramuricea clavata
Lineage: Eukaryota; Metazoa; Cnidaria; Anthozoa; Malacalcyonacea; Plexauridae
Source: the annotation of a GenBank genome assembly